CUGAGGGUAGUAAAAAAAGGGCUGAAUUGGUUCGUCCCAAAGUAAGUGUAGGGUAGAUUAUGGUUGCGUCUUGUUGUUGUUGUUUUGAUAUAUAUUAAGUGUAUAAACAUCGAAUUCAUUUGUAGGCAAGGUUGCAGCCUAAUGGGAAUGAUUGUGGAUAUUAUGUGAUGAAGAAUAUGCUUGACAUUGUCUCUGCUAAUAUUACUAAGUCUUGGAAUGAGGUAUUCAAUGAUCCAACGGCAUUAACAGAAGAAGAGUUGUAUGAUUUGCGAAACAGUUGGGCAACUUGUUUUCUAGAGUUGAUUAAACCUUAGAAUUUAUCAGAUUGAUUGAAUUGCUGGGAAUUUUGCUGAUAUGGACAGUAGAUUGGUGGAGAGAUGAUUGAAUGGAUUCAUAUGAGGCACUUUUUCUGCUGAAUUGCGUGGCUCAGAAUUUCAAGUGGUAGUGAAUCUCUUUUUGUUGUAUUGGUGGUCUUGGAGGCUUGGUAAAAUUUGGGAUAGGCACUAACAUUUGGGCAGUUUGUUGCCUUUGGAUUAGUAGCUUUAGAGUUCUUACUACCUUAGUCUUUUCUUUAGCUUAGCUAGUUUAUCUUUAGCUUAGCUAGUUUUGGUUACUUUGUAUUUUGGCUUUGGACCGUUUCCUUGGUUUUUUCCAAAAAAUAUUUGGCAAUGCAUGAUCAAUUAUUAAUGAUCAAUGAAUAUUCAGCUCAAAUU
This is a long non-coding RNA of Lotus japonicus, 713 nucleotides long. RefSeq lists it as uncharacterized. NCBI's taxonomy places the organism in Eukaryota, Viridiplantae, Streptophyta, Magnoliopsida, Fabales, Fabaceae. The record is from RefSeq and is a predicted model, not a curated record. The transcript is spliced from 3 exons.